Small nucleolar RNA from Ochotona princeps (American pika), 134 nucleotides. Its record names the gene SNORA70. It matches the Rfam family "Small nucleolar RNA SNORA70". From Rfam's summary of the family: snoRNA U70 seems to be exclusive to mammals and is a member of the H/ACA class of snoRNA which contain H (ANANNA) and ACA box motifs. NCBI's taxonomy places the organism in Eukaryota, Metazoa, Chordata, Mammalia, Lagomorpha, Ochotonidae. The record is from Ensembl.
CUGCAGCUAAUGAAGCCGACCAGCUCCCCUAGGCCAUGGGCGCCUGGUGUGCAAUGGGUGCAAACAGCAUCCUCCUGGGUAGUGUGAGCACCUGUUCCUUGUGUGGGCUGCCCUGAGAGACCCUGGGGACAGUC